RNAcentral lists this long non-coding RNA (205 nucleotides) under Elaeis guineensis (African oil palm). RNAcentral's name for it is "long non-coding RNA (EGUI_LNC009710)". Lineage: Eukaryota; Viridiplantae; Streptophyta; Magnoliopsida; Arecales; Arecaceae. The record is from RNAcentral.
GGGUGGAAGAGUUAAGAUCGGUUGGUAUCUGGGCAGCUUGCAUUGCCCAGUAGAUUUUGUUAUCUAGAAAUAGCCUAGUGUUUGAGGCUAGAAGCUAUUUAGCAAGAUUCAUUUUGGAGAGAGCCCUAACUGCGGCUGCUGAGAUGAUUGAUGUGAUCUCAAGACCCUCGCAGACUUGGGAUCCCCACCUUACUCUUGCGGCGAC